RNAcentral lists this ribosomal RNA (494 nucleotides) under uncultured bacterium. Its description in RNAcentral is "partial 16S ribosomal RNA". It matches the Rfam family "Bacterial small subunit ribosomal RNA", at positions 28 to 507 of the family's 1533-position model. The record is from RNAcentral.
GACGAACGCUGGCGGCGUGCUUAACACAUGCAAGUCGAACGGUGAAGCGCCUUCCUUUUUGGUGGGUGUGGAUGAGUGGCGAACGGGUGAGUAACACGUGAGUAACCUGCCCCCUUCUUCUGGAUAACCGCAUGAAAGUGUGGCUAAUACGGGAUAUUCUGGGUCUGUCGCAUGAUGGGUCUGGGAAAGAUAUUGUUUCGGUGGGGGAUGGGCUCGCGGCCUAUCAGCUUGUUGGUGGGGUGAUGGCCUACCAAGGCGGUGACGGGUAGCCGGCCUGAGAGGGUGGACGGUCACACUGGGACUGAGACACGGACCAGACUCCUACGGGAGGCAGCAGUGGGGAAUAUUGCACAAUGGGCGCAAGCCUGAUGCAGCGACGCCGCGUGAGGGAUGGAGGCCUUCGGGUUGUGAACCUCUUUCGCCAGUGAAGCAGGCCUGCCUCGUUUGUGGGUGGGUUGACGGUGGCUGGAUAAGAAGCGCCGGCUAACUACGUG